RNAcentral lists this ribosomal RNA (1584 nucleotides) under Weissella confusa. Its description in RNAcentral is "bacterial SSU rRNA". It matches the Rfam family "Bacterial small subunit ribosomal RNA". Lineage: Bacteria; Bacillati; Bacillota; Bacilli; Lactobacillales; Lactobacillaceae. The record is from RNAcentral.
AAAUUGAGAGUUUGAUCCUGGCUCAGGAUGAACGCUGGCGGCGUGCCUAAUACAUGCAAGUCGAACGCUUUGUGGUUCAACUGAUUUGAAGAGCUUGCUCAGAUAUGACGAUGGACAUUGCAAAGAGUGGCGAACGAGUGAGUAACACGUGGGAAACCUACCUCUUAGCAGGGGAUAACAUUUGGAAACAGAUGCUAAUACCGUAUAACAAUGACAACCGCAUGGUUGUUAUUUAAAAGAUGGUUCUGCUAUCACUAAGAGAUGGUCCCGCGGUGCAUUAGCUAGUUGGUAAGGUAAUGGCUUACCAAGGCAAUGAUGCAUAGCCGAGUUGAGAGACUGAUCGGCCACAAUGGGACUGAGACACGGCCCAUACUCCUACGGGAGGCAGCAGUAGGGAAUCUUCCACAAUGGGCGAAAGCCUGAUGGAGCAACGCCGCGUGUGUGAUGAAGGGUUUCGGCUCGUAAAACACUGUUGUAAGAGAAGAAUGACAUUGAGAGUAACUGUUCAAUGUGUGACGGUAUCUUACCAGAAAGGAACGGCUAAAUACGUGCCAGCAGCCGCGGUAAUACGUAUGUUCCAAGCGUUAUCCGGAUUUAUUGGGCGUAAAGCGAGCGCAGACGGUUAUUUAAGUCUGAAGUGAAAGCCCUCAGCUCAACUGAGGAAUUGCUUUGGAAACUGGAUGACUUGAGUGCAUUAGAGGAAAGUGGAACUCCAUGUGUAGCGGUGAAAUGCGUAGAUAUAUGGAAGAACACCAGUGGCGAAGGCGGCUUUCUGGACUGUAACUGACGUUGAGGCUCGAAAGUGUGGGUAGCAAACAGGAUUAGAUACCCUGGUAGUCCACACCGUAAACGAUGAGUGCUAGGUGUUUGAGGGUUUCCGCCCUUAAGUGCCGUAGCUAACGCAUUAAGCACUCCGCCUGGGGAGUACGACCGCAAGGUUGAAACUCAAAGGAAUUGACGGGGACCCGCACAAGCGGUGGAGCAUGUGGUUUAAUUCGAAGCAACGCGAAGAACCUUACCAGGUCUUGACAUCCCUUGACAACUCCAGAGAUGGAGCGUUCCCUUCGGGGACAAGGUGACAGGUGGUGCAUGGUUGUCGUCAGCUCGUGUCGUGAGAUGUUGGGUUAAGUCCCGCAACGAGCGCAACCCUUAUUACUAGUUGCCAGCAUUCAGUUGGGCACUCUAGUGAGACUGCCGGUGACAAACCGGAGGAAGGUGGGGAUGACGUCAAAUCAUCAUGCCCCUUAUGACCUGGGCUACACACGUGCUACAAUGGCGUAUACAACGAGUUGCCAACCCGCGAGGGUGAGCUAAUCUCUUAAAGUACGUCUCAGUUCGGAUUGUAGGCUGCAACUCGCCUACAUGAAGUCGGAAUCGCUAGUAAUCGCGGAUCAGCACGCCGCGGUGAAUACGUUCCCGGGUCUUGUACACACCGCCCGUCACACCAUGAGAGUUUGUAACACCCAAAGCCGGUGGGGUAACCUUCGGGAGCCAGCCGUCUAAGGUGGGACAGAUGAUUAGGGUGAAGUCGUAACAAGGUAGCCGUAGGAGAACCUGCGGCUGGAUCACCUCCUUUCUAAGGAA